Molecule: long non-coding RNA, 872 nt
Organism: Brachypodium distachyon (stiff brome)
Lineage: Eukaryota; Viridiplantae; Streptophyta; Magnoliopsida; Poales; Poaceae
Exons: 3
Source: RefSeq, a predicted model, not a curated record
UGCUUGACCUGAGGAAAUAGAAAUACUGUUGACCUGUCCGAUUUUGGUCGGGAUUCAGGAACCCUAAAAAGUGAGCCAUGCCCAAAUAGAAAUAUCCUCUGACCAUAGUUCGCUCUUCGCGGAGACCACCGGCGAACCGUAGUCCCCAGCCAUAGCCACGAGCAAGGAAAGGAAAAAAAAGCAACGAGAAACCUCUCCAAGGUCCCAAUUUCCUCUCAUGGCACUCUUCUGCCCUGAAGGAUCGAGGCGUCAGCACAUCAAGUGCCAUGUGACACUUGUUGAAAUCUGGAUAUCAGUUGCUGGAGGAUGAAGCAAGUCAUCAAACCCAUGCUCAAGGGCUAUCUGUGCAGAAACAUACACUACACUUCAUACUGUCCUGGUGAUAGAAUUUCAAGUGGGUUGUUAACCUACCUUGUCUCAAACAAUCCCACCAUCAACCCACAACGCCUGCAGGUUUUGCAGUUGGGCGUGUUCUUGUUCCGAAAUAUGAAGUGGUACUUCUUCCCACAAACAGGGUGUCUGCUCCAGCCUAUUGGCGGUUCAAAAAAUGAAAUGACAUUAAUCUGCGUUCUAAUUUGUAAUUUAAACAGCCACCAUCAGCUUAUCAUUUACGCAGAUGCGGUCCAGGAACCCAAAAAAAAAUUAUGUUUAUGGAGGAAAAGCUUUCAGGGACAUUACAUAUCGGAGAAAAAAAAUUCAGGUUCAAUUUAAUCAAGUGAUAGCUUGGAAGAGUGGUCAUGAGAAUCAAUCAGGCAAGUUGGGGUUUUUCAGAUUCAAAUAUCAAGUUGAGAAUAAGUUGUUCAAAUCCGCAAAAUAUACAAGGAGCGUCUCCGAAAAAAGAUAAUAAGCCGGUCGAGAGAGUAUUUUGUCCA